GAUGAACGCUAGCGGCAGGCUUAAUACAUGCAAGUCGUGGGGCAGCAUGAAGUAGCAAUACUUUGAUGGCGACCGGCAAACGGGUGCGGACCACGUACACAACCUUCCUUUUAGUGGGGAAUAGCCCAGAGAAAUUUGGAUUAAUACCCCGUAACAUAGCGAUGAGGCAUCUCAUUGCUAUUAUAGCUUCGGCGCUAGAUGAUGGGUGUGCGUAUGAUUAGAUAGUUGGCGAGGUAACGGCUCACCAAGUCUACGAUCAUUAGCUGAUGUGAGAGCAUGAUCAGCCACACGGGCACUGAGACACGGGCCCGACUCCUACGGGAGGCAGCAGUAAGGAAUAUUGGUCAAUGGACGAAAGUCUGAACCAGCCAUGCCGCGUGAAGGAUUAAGGUCCUCUGGAUUGUAAACUUCUUUUAUAUGGGACGAAAAAAGGUCUUUCUAGAUCACUUGACGGUACCAUAUGAAUAAGCACCGGCUAACUCCGUGCCAGCAGCCGCGGUAA
RNAcentral lists this ribosomal RNA (502 nucleotides) under uncultured bacterium. RNAcentral describes it as "partial 16S ribosomal RNA". It matches the Rfam family "Bacterial small subunit ribosomal RNA", at positions 28 to 523 of the family's 1533-position model. The record is from RNAcentral.